Molecule: long non-coding RNA, 2081 nt
Organism: Haliotis rubra (blacklip abalone)
Lineage: Eukaryota; Metazoa; Mollusca; Gastropoda; Lepetellida; Haliotidae
Exons: 2
Source: RefSeq, a predicted model, not a curated record
AGUUCAUGACCACUAGAGAGGUUUCUCCUUCCACUUUAGCAGCAUUGCGUAAUGAAAAGAUCGAUGUUGAGACAGUCCUUGCCGUUGACGACCAAAGUUUCAGUCCAUAUAUUCCGAAACUGGGUGACAGAGUUGCAUUGAGGGAACAUUGCUCUAAAAUCGUCCAAAAAUCAAAGAAGAAGGAAUAAAAAAGAAUUGAAAAUGAAACUGGCACACUAGAGUCACAAGAAAACUCCAGAAAAGGAUGCAGAGAUCGCUAAAUCUGAUUGGAGAAAGACGAUUAGGAAGAAGACGAGGAAAAUAGAAUUCGGGUGGAUACAUGAUGAACACCAAGUCCGAAAACGAUUUGGCGGCGGCGCCAGAAAAGUGGACGUGAAACGUUCUUUGUGUAAACCAGAACUUUUGGAAAUGGCCAAGGAGUUAUUUUUCCCAAACGGCAGGUCCACAAAAGGAUCUCUCAAUGACGUUACAUGUGAUCUGUUAGAUUUUUAAAAAAAUCACUUCCAAAUGAGAUGUCAGUGACAGAUUGUUAUGACCUUUUCAAAAUUGGCAUUGUAACAUUUUACCUGCACACAAAAUCUAUUGAUACAACAACUGCAGAUGAACAUGCCACUCAUGAUGAACGACCCUCUGAUCAACAAGGAGUGGGAGAAACACCAGGCCACGCAACAUCAUCAGAUGAGAUACAGGAUGAGCCUUCAUUUCCCGGAACCAGGGAAUCAAUGAUGCCUACUGGACCUCUCCAAGAAGAAUGGAUGAACACACCAUUAUACACCCCUCGAGAAAUGACAUCCAUCAAGACGCUGUGGAAGCUAUUGGUUUCCUGGAUGAAGACCUGCCAGAUUUAGAAGUGCGACAUAUCCCUGUGUUUGAUAUUGUGGGAAACAACCAAGACAACACAACUAUAUCACAUACUGAGGGGGGCAUUACUGUGUCCAGAUGACCAUCCACACAGCUUCCUUGGCCUUUGCAGAGAUGUUAGGAUACUUCAAGGAUGCUGACAUUUUGAAUGAGGUAGUGAAUGUUGUCCGCAUUCUGCCAAAUGGUAUAGAGGAGAAGGAUGAAGACACCGGAGGUGUCCUGCGGAAUACGAUCACAGAAUUUUGGGAACACUUCUACAACCACUUUACAAUUGGGGAAACGUUAAAAUAAAGUUCCAUCUCUAAGGCAUGAUUUCGGAAUUGAAGAAUGGAAAGCUGUUGCACGUGUACUGGUGUUUGGAUGGAGAAGACUGAUUUACUGGCCACUGAAGUUGUCCAAGGUAUUCAUUCUCCAGUGCUUUUUCCCUGGAAGGGAUCCUGAAUCAUCAAUCCUAAUGGAAGAUUUUCAUGAGUUUGCAUCAGCCAUGACUCUAAAAUUUUCAAACAAGCUAUUGGGGACUUUACUAGCGUCGAAGAAGAUGAUCUGUUGGAGUCAUUGGAGACUUACAACUGUAGGUCGAAAAUUGAUGCAACACAUCUGGUACCAGUCCUGAUUGAGAUUGCAAACUUCACACUCAUACAGGAAACAAUGUUUGUUGUUGAAUCCUGGCGUGAAAUCUUUGACAAUAUCUAUGUCAGAGCAGCAGUUGGCAUCUCUGUAUUCAUCAACGCGGCCAACCAACAAGUCAGUUCUAAACUACUUGAAGUGCCAGAAGCCGCAAACAUAAAUGAAAGGCAGACUCGAAGGUUCCUCAAGCAAUAUGUCAACGAGAUGGAUGUUGAGAAGCUGCAAAAGUUUCUCCGUCUCUGUACUGGGUCGCACAUGGUAAACACAGAGAAGAUACAGGUGAACUUCAUUCCCAUGGAGUACUUUGAAAGAAGACCAAUCGCUCACACAUGCGGAGCAGUGCUGAAACAUUCUGAUAACUACUCAAAUUACAUGGAGUUCAGAACGGAGUUUGACCAUGUCCUCACUAGAAAUGUGUGGGUCAUGGACAUAAUAUAGUGGGUAAAAUAAUGAUAUGUUUAAGUUUUGACUGAAGGUUUCUUGGUUUUGAAACUGAGUAUCUGUGAGAAGAUACAUAGUGUUACUAUGCAUCUUUUUGUACUCGUUUAAGAUUGAAUGUUGAUACAGAAUUGCACUUUGAUGACUAAGGUAGA